CUCUCUACUCGUGCAAAAAACAUGACCAACCAUUUGAUUCUGCUGACAAUAAUUUCAUUUUCCUUUCCCUCUGUCAGGCACUGUCUGAGAAUUUACAAAAUGAUUUAGAAAUGCCAAGAAGAAGAGAUAGAACAUAUCAAAAUAUCGCUGUUGAAGUCUUCUGGAAGAUGGGAGGAGAAAGAACAUGUUACUUGUACCAACCAUAUCCUAGGUAGAUACAUGUUAAAGGCAGUAAUAUUUAUGUUUUCGAUUAUUAAUUUGCGCACUUUUAAUUUGCAGCUGUGAAAAUGGAUAUUACGAUGGCAUCUGAAGAGGUUGUCGGCAGUCGUCCUAACGGAGAAGCGGAUCAAGAGGCUCGAAAUCCCUCGACAACAUGGUAAUGUAAAUGAAUCUCGUCUCCAAUAUGGUUGAUCUCUGAUUAUGCUUCAGCUAUUGAAUAAAGAUAAUGAAAUUUGAACUCCUAA
Long non-coding RNA from Populus trichocarpa (black cottonwood), 464 nucleotides. RefSeq lists it as uncharacterized. The transcript has 2 exons. NCBI's taxonomy places the organism in Eukaryota, Viridiplantae, Streptophyta, Magnoliopsida, Malpighiales, Salicaceae. The record is from RefSeq and is a predicted model, not a curated record.